UAUUGAAUAAUUUUAAUUGAAAAUCAACAGUACCCUCCACAUAAUGGCAGUGGCUUUAUAUUGCACAAAUAACAUUCCUUUCAUUGGUUUUAUUUUUAUGACAGUAAUACUGCUUCCACAAUGGUAAACAAUGAGCAAAAUAAUUUUGAUUGUAAUAUCACCUCACACAUAGACAACAUACAAAAUCGUAGGAAAUAAAUAUGAAUUUCACACAUUUAAAACAAUACACCUUUUCUCUAUGCAUUACAAAAAAUGCAAUUUAUAUAACAAAUUUACAAUACCUUCAAUCAACAGCAAAAUUAUUAUUUUGUUCACACUUAUUUAACUGGGAAAAGUAAUUACAAGUGGUAUGAACACUUUUACUAAAACAUAACACUAAGACAUCUUUUUCAAAAAUGUCAAUAAUAUAACUAGGAACUAAAAUAUUAGAAAAUAUUUGUACCAGUACUAGUAUAUAUAUUUACUGACUUUCUUUUUUGAUGAAAUCCACUAGUUUAUUUAAAUCUUCAGAUAUGUAAUUUGCAGAAAUGUUUUCUACAUGCAGUGACAUUAACAGGAACACCUCUUAUUACAAAUUCAGCUAUUAUGCAGCGCAAGUGCCAUUUUUUUUAGAAAGAUAGUUUUAACUGGUUCUAAUAGAACAAAUGAUAUGCACCAAAUCAUGUUACAUGUACAAACAAGAGGCUGUCACAACGACAGCAAACCGGAUUUAUUAAAAUUUAUUUGUGUCCUGGCAAUAUCACAAGAACCAUUACAGAUGAAUAGUGAAAGUGAAAAUGGUCAAUAUCAAAUUUGACCUCCAUUUUGUCAUCAGUAUCAACAUAUUAAAAUUUGAAAAGCUUAGAUUGAAUGGUUCAUGAGUAAAUGCAACAACGUGAAUGGAAACGCCAUUUUACGAUCUUUCAAGAACCAUAACUCCUGAACGGUAAAAGUCAAAAUCGUCAUUAUUGAACUUGACCUCUAUUUUGUCAUCAGUAACAACAUAUUAAAAUUUCAAAAGCUUUGGUUGAAUGGUUCAUGAGAAAAUGCACGGACACGACGGGAAACACCAUUUUUCAAUCUUUCAAGAACCAUAACUCCUGAACAGUAAAAGUCAAAAUCGUCAUUAUUGAACUUGACCUCCAUUUUGUCAUCAGUAACAGCAUAUUAAAAUUUCGGAAGCUUUGGUAGAACAGUUCAUGCAUAAAUGCACGGACACGACUGGAAACUCCAUUUUUCAAUCUUUCAAGAACCAUAACUCCUGAACAGUAAAAGUCAAAAUCGUCAUUAUUGAACUUGACCUCCAUUUUGUCAUCAGUAACAGCAUAUUAAAAUUUUGGAAGCUUUGGUAGAACAGUUCAUGCAUAAAUGCACGGACACAACUGGAAACUCCAUUUUUCAAUCUUUCAAGAACCAUAACUCCUGAACCGUAAAAGUCAAAAUCGUCAUUAUUGAACAUGACCUCCAUUCUGUCAUCAGUAACAACAUAUUAAAAUUUGGGAAGCUUUGGUAGGACAGUUCAUGCAUAAAUGCACGGACACGACUGGAAAUCCAUUUUUCAAUCUUUCAAGAACCAUAACUCCUGAACGGUAAAAGUCAAAAUCGCCAUUAUUGAACUUGACCUUCGUACAGUUGUCAGUAAUAACAUAUUAAAAUUUUAAAAGCUUUGGUUGAACGGUUCAUGAGUUAAUGCACGGACAACAUUUGAUUGCGCCCGCGCCCGCCCGACCGCCAGCCCGCCGCCCGCCGUACAUCCCCAAAUCAAUAACCGACAUUUUUGUCACAAAAAUCCGGUUAAAAAGUAUGACAAAAUCAAUCAACAAAUGGGAACUCCUGGAAAAUAAAAACAAAACAAAUAUACACAACUCUAUCAUCUCAUUUAAAUUUCCUUUCUGUCAUCUCAUUUAAAUUUCCAUAAUACCAGAAAUUCAGGUUCUUUUUACUUUAAAUAAGUCGUUUCAUUAAUUAUGACAUAAAUGGUAUCUGUGAUGAACUGUUUUAUGGUUCACUGUGACAAACUUGCCUAUUUAGCAUUUAAAUGAAGUAGAUACAUCUACAAUGUACAUAUAACAUUAUACACUUUUGCUCAAAUUAUCUCUCCCCAAAAUAUAGACUAACAAUAUGAUAGCAAAAGAUAACACAUUUAGGACCAAACUUUGAUAUUUUACCAGAAAAACAAAGUCAUGAAAAUAGAUAGCAAAAAUUGGAAGACAUUGUCCCAAACUGCAGAAGUCAAGUUUUUACUAGAAAAUUGGACAACAGAUGUAUUCGAUACAAGGGCUUCAUAUUUUAUUAAGAUUUAUGACCCCUUCUGUAGCCAUUUUUGUAAGAACUUUUCAAACAUCAAUUGUAUCUAAACUACAGAUAUAAUGAAUAAUAGAGAUAGACCACUCUGUACAUGUACCAAGGAAAAACUUGAUGUAAAGCAUUAUUAUUUACUGUUUCAUUGCAUUUAAUAGAGAAAAGAGUACUUUGUGGCAAAUAAACCAAGAUUUUUAUAGAAAAUCCACAGCCUUAAAUACAGAGAUUUUUGUUAUAAAAUUUGAAACAUAGAUCACUCACUUGCUUUUCUAUGAUGUGCUAGUGUUUAUUUUUUACAAAAAGUUCUACAUAACCUGUAAAUUCCAAAAUACCUCGUGCUGAGUCACCAAAGUCCAGCGCACCCUAAAAGGUGUACUUGAUUAAGUCAUAUGUUUAUUUGUUUUAGGGAGCUACCAUUUGAUUUUUUAUGGGGGGGGGGGGCUAGGAUGAAAUUAGAUAAAAAUACGCAGGACAGGAGUUUUGAGUAAAAAAAAAAAGGCAGGAUGAGACACUUGCAAAAAAAAAAAGUCAGGACGACAAUUUAGGUAAAAAAAAAUCAGGAUAAACUAAAAAAAAAAAGGCAGGACCGAACAGAGUGAAAAAUAAAAAGGCAGGACAGAGAUUACAGCUAAAAAAAAAUGCAGGACAAAAUUUUUCAUCCUAGCCCCCCCAUAAAAAUCAAAUGGUAGCUCCCUUAACCAAUAGCUACAUUAAUAAACUUGUUUUAAGGAAAUCAAUGCUAGCACUGCA
Molecule: long non-coding RNA, 3030 nt
Filed under: Mytilus galloprovincialis (Mediterranean mussel)
Lineage: Eukaryota; Metazoa; Mollusca; Bivalvia; Mytilida; Mytilidae
Source: RNAcentral